Anopheles funestus (African malaria mosquito) is the source of this 4224-nucleotide long non-coding RNA. RefSeq lists it as uncharacterized. The transcript is spliced from 4 exons. NCBI's taxonomy places the organism in Eukaryota, Metazoa, Arthropoda, Insecta, Diptera, Culicidae. The record is from RefSeq and is a predicted model, not a curated record.
AUUUACAAAUAUUAGGUGCAAAUAUUAAUGUAAAUUUAAAAACUCCGACAACUAUGUGGUGAUCAAUUGGGAGCUUAUGUCACGCUCCCAAAAAACCAUCAUUUGUCAAACAGUCAAACAUGUAAAUAAAAACGUUUGCACAGUUUAGUAGGAGUUAUUAAAUUAUACUAUUAGUUAGCUCGAAUUAAGUUAUUUUUAAUACAAAAAUACUUCAUAAGUUCGAUAAGAAUAAGUUCUAUAUUAAGGAUUCUGACCAUCCUUAGUACUACAAAUGAAUUUGCUAAACAAUUUCCUUUUACGCUGUGCUGUAGGAAGCCACAAAUUGCUUCUAUGUUUCGCUUGCUACUAAACUUUUACAUCAUAAAGCUGCAACAAACAAACCAUCCGGAACGGAAAUGACCACGUGUCAGAGAAAAGGAAAAGAAAAAAAACCCGUUUAAUCCACUAACUAAUGUUUCCCCCCCGCGGGAAGGAAAAGUCAACGAUUGCGAUGAGGCACAAAACAGUUGCAACCAAUUAUACCACCAUCCUGGGCCUGGUGAAGCAUUUUCCACUUUCCCAACAAAUCGAAUGCCCGAAAUCAAUCACACACCAGCGCAGUACAUUUUGCUUUCAUGUCGGUCCAGCUCCUGCUAACGACGGGUUCGCACAAAUGGAAGACAAAUAAAUAUCAAAUAGAAUUACCCCGCGGGCAUAAUCUUCCACCUUCUUGCCUGGAAGGUGAUUCGUUCCUUCUUUCUUUUUUUUUGUGAAUCCUUUUUCACAAUCUUCCACACAGAUGAAAGUGAAAUGUGUGUGAUGAAAGUUUGCCAGUUUUCUUUCGGGUCCCAAUGUCCAAUGUUUCGUGUCUUUGAUCAAUUUCCGCUAGUGCAAAUAGACAAGAAUUCUCGUGUACGUGGUUCCAACUCAAAAAAAAACAAACUCGGGGUUUGCUGUCCAGCGCCACAUAUCAGACAUUGGUGGGGAUUCGGAUGUGUGCCAAAUUUGUCCAGACCCCGGAGUGUUUUUCUUUUUUCUUCUCUCUCUUCUGUCCGUUCACUUCAAUAAAGGAAAUCAAUUCGCCCGGUAAUCUGUUUAUGAUUGUCAUAAAUUAUGUCCAGCCCCUUUGGCUUUCUGUUUCUUUCGUGGAUGUGAAUCUGGGUACGCGCGUGCCGCCUUUGAUCCGAGGCGUCUUGUCUUGAGGCAUGUAAAUAUGUAGUCUCAUCCAUUCGGUGUGUUUGUUGCGUGCCACUGUUUGCUAAAAUGGUUUAAAUCUAUUUUCCUUUAUUUUUUUUAGUUUAGGUCAUUUCAAAAACGACAUUUUUUUUAACACACCCUUUCUUACCCACGGCUGAAUGUUACAUCUGCCAACAUAUCGGUUUUAUUUUAGCAACGGAUUUAUUUACCCAAAAAAAAACAGUCACCCCUAACACCAACCGACUACUGGUCAAUCUGUAGAUGAAAAGUACAAUUCAGAAGAGAGUAAAAAAUAUAAGAAUAAAGAGUUAAUGCCCACCCGUUUAGCAGCCCAACCUAUUACCGUGACCCGUUCCUGCCCAUUAGGGUAUCGUUGGACUGUGACGCAUCCUUCUUUCAUACAUGUUGGAUGCAGAUCGUUUUGCGAUGUGGAAACAAAAAAUCAGCAUGAAACACGCUAAGUACUUCCCCGAUGGCCGAUAAUCGAAUUUCCCUUCGACUAUCGGACAUCCGGAUGCCAACUGGCCCGUUGUACCGUAAUAGAAAUAUCAAAAACAAUCCCAAAAAUCGGAUAGCCACAUUGCAGAAUGGCAAAAACGAUAAUUCAACUAGAUCGAAAGGGUUUUUUUGGUUGUUUGGUUUGGUGUGCUGAAAACCGUGUUCGAGACCAACGUAAGGCCCCAAGAUCGUCAAUUGUCGCUCGGGCAAAGUAUGCAACCAAUGAAGCAGAGCGCAACGGAACGCAUUUACGGUGCACGAUUUUUUACGGCGCUAUAAUAAAUCUAAUUUAGAGAGUGAGUGUCGCUUACGGUUGGGCACUUGGGAUGCGGAACUCUGGUUUUUUUUUGGUAGAAAAGGGGUUGGCAAAGGAAGGUGAAGCAAAGGAACCACCCAGGAUUGUGUGUUGUGUCCUGCCAAAAAAAGGGGGUGUACCGUUGUGUACAAUUGCAUUUAAGAUUUUUGGUUUUUCUCCCUACUUUACGGUCUUGCGGUGACCUUUUGUCCACGGGUGUUCCCGGUUUUUUUUUCUUCUUUCGAUAAUACGCUCAAGAGCCGGAACGGAAUUAGCACAAAAAGCGUAAGGAAUGGGAGCGAAAAAAAUAUAUAUAUACUCCAAACCCAAACAUUGAUCACCCGUUAAUGAGGGAUUAUGAGGCGGAUAUUGAUGUCAUCGCGUGUAACGGAGCCACCGUUACGCUGUUUUUUUGUUCUCUCCUACGGAUGUCCUUGCGCGUCGCGUAGCCUACUUUUCAGGGGGACGUUUUUUUUCCCUGCGCGCAUGGACACAACAGAGCUAAUCAGGCGAACUAAAACCAUCUCGGUGCAGCGAAAACAAACACAAACAUUUCUGCUUCAUUCGUUUUUUUUUGACCCCCUCGAGCGAUGAAGGGUCGCUAGGAAUGUCCCUUCGCAGUUUUAUUUUAUUUUCAAUUUUCUUUCUUUUUUUUUGGUGGAAAAUCUGAAACCAAAAAUCACGCAACUGCAAAACAAAAUCAAUGCUAACCCUUAGGAGAGAGAGAAAAAACGGUAGCAUCGCUUUACGCUUCAUUUUUUUUUUGUCGCUACGCUACGCACGUUUCGAUUUUGAAGCAUUUUAACCCAAAAAAUAUAUAUAUUUUUAUCAUCGCAAAAAAAAAGGGGGAAGUAAAUCAUAUUACCCAAUUGCUUGUUAGAGAGCGCAAAAGAUUCAGGUUCAUAUUUCUACUACCGUACGGACACGGCAUGGUGGAGAAGCUAACCAACAAAAAAAACGGUAUACAUUUUCAGAAUAAAACUCUAUUAAACGAAACUGCACAACAUAUUCUAGGCAGCAGCAACAACAAAAAAAAACUCCAUCUAAUGGGAUAAUUAAAUCGCAAUCUUCGGUUACGGACAGGUUUCUCUCCGUUCGCUGUUUGGCACUGAUUAGCGUUUCCGGGUUUGGCGUUAUGUAUGUGGCAACCGUAACAACCCCUUUAACCUAUGGGUAAUUUUUUCCCUCUCUCUCUCUGCUCCCUAUCUCCUGUCUACCUUGUCUUGUCCAAACUUCUUUUUAUGACCGCAACAAAAGUGGUUCACUGUGCUUGUGCAGGCAUAAAAAAAGAGCGAAAAAGACCAAGUAAUUAUCGUAAAUCAGUUGCAUCACAGAGUGCAAAACCUUUUGGCGGACGUUUGGGUUUACCGGAUGACAGGAUGAGUGUAGUUUUGUUCCGUUUUUUUUUGUUAGUUAGUUCCAUUUUUAGUUAAAUGGUAAAUCCUUUUUUCCUUUCCCCAUUUUUCUCGCACAAAAAAAUGGCAUUCCGGGGUUUUUUUUUGCGGAUGGCAGGGUUAGCGUUCAAUCGUGUACGCGCCUGACCGGUAUGCAAUCCGGUGUCCGGUGUACGCUAGUGGAGGUUGAUUUAUCGGUGGCCCAUUAUGUGUGAUCGCCAAGCGUGCAGGCUAAAUUGAUGUUUGCCCAUUUGUUGCCCUGUUAGGUUUUGCAAUUCUUCUUCUGCUUGUGUCCGUUGUUUUUUUUUUUGCGUUGCAUUGUCGUCUUGACCACUUUCCCUCUGCAUAAUGCUGAAAGAGUAGAUACAGACACAUUAUUCUUUUUUCUUCUCGCUUUUUUUUAUAGCCUUGCUGUGAAUAACAAAAAAAAAAGGUAGCCAGAGAUGAGCACAUGAGCACGUCCAUCAUUCGUGGCGAGCAGAAUUCAAUCGGGUGACAAAGCGUUUGAAGGAAACAAUGGAAAUAAAUGCUCGCACACCCGAAGCGCCCUCCCCGCCUGGAAGUACAAAUGCUUGUUUGAGCUCAAUCCACGACCCGGUCACAAUGGGAUCCAGGAUGUACGAAACUCUGUGUACCGGUCAACUCGUACAACCGGUCGGGACGUGAAGCAACCCUGUAGUAAUCAUAAGUGAAACCGAGCAAGCACAAAACAAAGCCCGCAAACGCGACCGAAAAUCCCUGAUUGGAUCACUCCGCUAAAUCCGGCGUACACAGUUUGAUGGACUAUCUCCAUCAUGGUGCUAGCGAUAUUCAGACGACAAGCGUAAGGAAAUGCAACUCGAGCCGUUCUGCCAGCUUCCC